GGUUAAGCGACUAAGCGUACACGGUGGAUGCCCUGGCAGUCAGAGGCGAUGAAGGACGUGCUAAUCUGCGAUAAGCGUCGGUGAGGUGAUAUGAACCGUUAUAACCGGCGAUUUCCGAAUGGGGAAACCCAGUGUGUUUCGACACACU
RNAcentral lists this ribosomal RNA (148 nucleotides) under Escherichia coli. RNAcentral describes it as "partial 23S ribosomal RNA". It matches the Rfam family "Bacterial large subunit ribosomal RNA", at positions 1 to 149 of the family's 2925-position model. Lineage: Bacteria; Pseudomonadati; Pseudomonadota; Gammaproteobacteria; Enterobacterales; Enterobacteriaceae. The record is from RNAcentral.